UAUGUGUCUCUCACCAAUUAUAUCACAGCAUUUGGAUAACUUGUAUCAAUCACAGCGUUUGGGUAUUGAUUUCUUGUAAAUGAUGCCGUGGAUCAGGGGGCUGUGCGCAAAAAAUGACAUUAAACAGAAAUUUUGGGCUCUUUUGAUAAGUGUGAUGGUUUUUGGCCUUCGCGAGAGGCUCGUCGACCAAGGUCAAAUUUUAUCAGGAUGCGAAAGAUUCGCAUUUAACUUUUUGUACCAUUAAAGUUAAAACGUGUUUUUUCCGCUCCUUUACCUCACAACUCUCCUCUACUCACAUGGCACACGCCAAACUUACAUUCCUUCACGUACCAUGAAAAUAACGUCCAAAGUCCAAUCAGAACAUACCCAUCAUUGUAAUAAAAUAUGUGGUUUUUUUUCAUCGUGGUGAAAGAUAGAAGAUGAACUUUAUUCGUUUGUCUCACGAUGGAGUCACCUUGGAUGUUAAUCGCGACGUUUAGAUUGCAAUACUGCUAGUCUUCAUCAGGCGAUGAAGUCGAUUGUUUACGUGUCGCUAUUUGUAGCACGUUUGGUUCGCUGCUGUUAGUGCAUUUCAAUCCUCAUUAUCAUUCCGGUUGUUAGGUGGUAUUCCUUCAUAGGUCCGCAAUAAUCGGCUGUUGUGUUGUUUGAUCUUGGGUACUCAAGCCUCGGAAAUUUCGAUUCCAUUAUCCCUAUUGAUGUUGUUAGGAUGAAGUCUUAUAUGGAUAGCCUCUUUGACCCUACGUGUAUAUUACUGAGGGUUAUGAUCAACAAACUUAACCUUGCUCCAAGUAGGAAUAUGCCCCGUUUCGUUAGCGUGCUCCGAAACCACAGAGGUCUCAGUUGGAGCAAACCGUUUAUCUCUGUCAUGUUGUUUUAUCCUUUCUCGCAUUGAUCUCCCCUGUUUCACCGAUAUACACUUUUCUGCAUUCACAUGGGAUCUUGCAAACGACACCGUUUUAUUUUGUUCGUUCUAGGGCGUCUUUAGGUUGCACUAAGUGAGACCUAAGCGGUCCGUAUGCCUUGAUGUUCAAAAACCAUUUACUUCAUGAACAGAGGUAAAUCUUCGUACAUGAAUUUCCCUUCAGACUGUGCAUAACCAUUUGUAGACGAGAAUUCCAAUGCACCUCUGUAAUCGCAUAUAGUUGCUUCUGUAUCUUUCUUAUAAAAAAAUGAGGGUAAAACACAAUUUGUAAUCACAUUCAAAAUUGUGACGGGCUUGUGUUGUUUCUCACCUUUGCCGUGAACAUAACUCAAGUGGGUUCGAGUCUUUGUUUCCUCGACAACUUUCGGCCACAAAUCGUGCAUUCUUGUUCGAUUAUUUCUAUAUAGAGUGAAUUCACAUCAUUAUUUAUAUCAUCGUCAGAACUUGGAUCCAAGGUAUCCAUCACCCAAGAGAAGAGCACCGGUCAGGAAAGACAGAAUAGUUUUGCGCGCUUCUCUUGAGACUGCAAUAGGGCAAGCCAGUGGAUUCUCUUUGCUAGCCAGUGACAAUUCCCAAACCAUCUACGUGAUCAUGCCCGUGUCGGAAACAAAAGAGACUCCAUUUGGCGCUCAUCUUUGAAUGUUCUUUUAAUCGCUUGAUCGCUCGGGCUUUAAGUUAUUUCUUUCUUUUUUUAUUGUUUAAUUUAACAUUUCUAAAGAUGGGUUUAUUGUGAUUCAAUGGGAAAACGAGAACAGCGUGAGUGUUGUAAAUGAAAGGAAGUCGUUGGCGCCGUGAAGUUAAAAGAAGGGACGACAGUUGACAUAUAUCGACUGGUACAAACAACGAUCGAGUGGCCAUUGAGAAAGCUAGGAUUUAGAAAGUUUGUGCUUUCCUACAAGUGUAUGAAAAAAAUUAAAAAACUGAGAGUUAUGAAAAUGAAGAAGACGAAUGGCCCAAGACUACAACAUUUCCUGCAGCAGAUAGAAGGAACGGAUUCUUUUAAUGAGAUCAGCAUUGUCAAACAUGAUAAUGAUCUUGAAGAGCUUGAAGUAAAAAAGCGGAGAGUGUUGGAUGAUGUUGUUCAGAAUGUGUAAGAAAGGCUCGACUACUUAGAGAAUGACCCUGUCCUGAAAGCUGCAGCGGUACUGGAUCCAGACAUUUGGCCAAAAGAUGAGAUGGAACUGUCUGCAUAUGGUGAAGAAGAAGUUCAAGUGUUGGCAGAUUACUUUAAGGAUCAUUUGUUGAGAGCUGGAUGUGAGCUUCUAAAGAUUGAUAGAGAAUGGUCAAUUGUGAAAAGCCAUGUCAGCCGUCACUUGACUGGCUGAAGUACAGAAGAAGUGUUUACCUCUCUCUUUAGAAGUUACACAGAUCAGUGCUUCAGUUUCCUGCUCCUGGUUGAAACAGUUCUUAUGUGGAAUGGUUGGGAGCCGGAAGGGCUCCCUUAAAAUUUUCUUAGAGCACAGCCUUGCACAUGCUGGUUCAUUGCAAAUAAAUUGUGAAAUCUUUAUCACA
Molecule: long non-coding RNA, 2434 nt
Organism: Pocillopora damicornis (cauliflower coral)
Lineage: Eukaryota; Metazoa; Cnidaria; Anthozoa; Scleractinia; Pocilloporidae
Source: RefSeq, a predicted model, not a curated record